UACGUAGGGGGCGAGCGUUGUCCGGAAUUAUUGGGCGUAAAGCGCGCGCAGGCGGUUUCUUAAGUCUGGUGUUUAAGUGCGGGGCUCAACCCCGUGACGCACUGGAAACUGGGAGACUUGAGUGCAGGAGAGGAGAGCGGAAUUCCACGUGUAGCGGUGAAAUGCGUAGAGAUGUGGAGGAACACCAGUGGCGAAGGCGGCUCUCUGGACUGUAACUGACGCUGAGGCGCGAAAGCGUGGGGAGCAAACAGG
This 252-nucleotide ribosomal RNA is filed under the name uncultured bacterium. Its description in RNAcentral is "partial 16S ribosomal RNA". It matches the Rfam family "Bacterial small subunit ribosomal RNA", at positions 524 to 776 of the family's 1533-position model. The record is from RNAcentral.